RNAcentral lists this ribosomal RNA (465 nucleotides) under uncultured bacterium. RNAcentral describes it as "partial 16S ribosomal RNA". It matches the Rfam family "Bacterial small subunit ribosomal RNA", at positions 338 to 795 of the family's 1533-position model. The record is from RNAcentral.
CCUACGGGAGGCAGCAGUAGGGAAUUUUCGUCAAUGGGCGCAAGCCUGAACGAGCGAUGCCGCGUGAGUGAAGAAGGCCUUCGGGUCGUAAAGCUCUGUUGCGGGGGAAAAAAAGCAGCAUUAGGAAAUGGAUGCUGACUGAUGGUGCCCCGCCAGAAAGUCACGGCUAACUACGUGCCAGCAGCCGCGGUAAUACGUAGGUGGCGAGCGUUAUCCGGAAUGAUUGGGCGUAAAGGGUGCGCAGGCGGUCCUGCAAGUCUGGAGUGAAACGCAUGGGCUCAACUCAUGCAUGGCUUUGGAAACUGGAGGACUGGAGAGCAGGAGAGGGCGGUGGAACUCCAUGUGUAGCGGUAAAAUGCGUAGAUAUAUGGAAGAACACCAGUGGCGAAGGCAGCAUACCGGCGCUCAACUGACGCUCAUGCACGAAAGUGUGGGUAUCGAACAGGAUUAGAUACCCCAGUAGUC